AUUAUGUUCAAUUUUAUAGUAACGAAAAUCAAGAAGUAUACCAAGACAUGUAUUAUAAUAAGUUAUCAGGUUCAUGGGGAAUAUAUUUUAAAAUAGAAUUUGAAAAAUAUGUUAGAGAUAAUACUGGAAUACCUAGAACUUUAGGUUCAAGAAUAAAAUUUUUAUUUGAAAGACUUGCAUAUAUAUGUCAACAAAAACAAUU
Molecule: long non-coding RNA, 202 nt
Filed under: Olea europaea (common olive)
Lineage: Eukaryota; Viridiplantae; Streptophyta; Magnoliopsida; Lamiales; Oleaceae
Description: long non-coding RNA (OEUR_LNC005019)
Source: RNAcentral